CCUAUCUCUAAAAGUGUUUUAGGGAUGGCUUCUGUCUGACAUGCCAGUUGGUAGGAGGCAAAGAGUAGAGAGGCUAUGUCUAUACUCAGUGUUCUGAACUAUGAAUAUAUGAAUGAUUAGUACCUAAAAUU
Small nucleolar RNA from Meriones unguiculatus (Mongolian gerbil), 131 nucleotides. NCBI's taxonomy places the organism in Eukaryota, Metazoa, Chordata, Mammalia, Rodentia, Muridae. The record is from Ensembl.